UCCCAAAGUGCUGGGAUUAUAGGCAUGAGCCACCACACCCAGCCUCAAAAUGGUUAACAAUCAUUGACUAUCUCUUCCUGUUUGGGGAUGAGGCAUUAAAAGCUGCUCAGAAGUUCCAGCAGAAGGGGCCGCUCCUAAGAGACACAGGACCAGAAAAUACAGACUCAAAAGUAGGCCUUGGUGCCCCGGGACUGCCCCUUAUCCUCCAGUGGGCCUUUGCGUCUGUUCUAGGCUCAGAGAGAGCAGAAGGGAAAACGGGGACCACUCUAGGUGGUGUAUGGAGGGUUGUAAAUGCUCUGUGCGCUGCCCAGUGUGAUGUUUCUCAGCCUCACCACAGGUCAUCCAGGGGUGGAAUUCUUCUGGUUUAUGUUGAUGCUGAAUUAUUCUAUUUGGCGGGAGCCUUGCCACCCUGGGCUUCAGGGAAACCCUCUUCCAGGGCCCCCUGGAUUUUUCCCAUUUUACCAGGCUUGCUGGAUGCAUUUGGAUUCACAUUCUUCCCCAACAACUGCUGUCACAGCUGUGGAUCAGCUACUGCAAUGAGAAGCUGAAGCAGCACUCUGUGACUGACGAACUGAGGGCCCAGCAGGUGUGGCCGGCAGACAAAUCCGGACAUCUGUACUUUCUCCAGGCUCCUGCCCCUCCCAGGUAGCAGAGUCUGCUGCGCUUGGAUGCCAGUGGGAAGAAUGCGUUCUUGGGGAGAGAGUGGACCCUUCCCUGGGCUCACAGGAGAAGACGGGGCUGGAGCGGGCAGUGGAGCUGUCCAGAGUGAGCAAGUGUCUGCGGAAUCCGGGAUGCAGCGUGUGAAUGGAGCUCCACACUCUCCCAGCUUCCUGGCCCGGGACAAGCAUUGGCACUCUCUGGGCCACCUCAGGAAAUCUCGAACCUCCUAGGCAAUUCCAGUUUGAGUCAGCCCUGCGAGCAUCCAGGGUCCUGCUCUGUCGCCCAGGCUGGACACUCACUGCA
Cebus imitator (Panamanian white-faced capuchin) is the source of this 963-nucleotide long non-coding RNA. RefSeq lists it as uncharacterized. Lineage: Eukaryota; Metazoa; Chordata; Mammalia; Primates; Cebidae. The transcript has 3 exons. The record is from RefSeq and is a predicted model, not a curated record.